CUUUUGCAAACAUUUUAAUUGAUUGUAUAACUGAAAAUGUAUCAAUGUCUCAAAUACCAUUCCCCUUUUUCCAGUUCUUAGAUACUUCCUGUUUUCCUUAACUCAUUAUUGUGAUAUUGUAUAACAAAUCAAAUCUAAUUGCACCUCUUGACUCCAAACGGAUGAUACGAGUUAUUUUUAAUUGGCAAAAGGUCAACACCUCUAUAUAUAUUUCCGCAUUUAUCAUUUGAAAAUAUUAUUUCUUAACAUUAGUAAAAAAAUAUAAAUAUGCUGAUGCCAUUUAAACUCUGGAUAAACUUGUUUGCACCUGAUCAGCACCUUUUAUGAGGCUAAUGAGAAGGGAACUCUGUUGAUAAACCGGAUUCGUUGAGGUCAUAUACAAAGCAAAGAAAAUGUGUAUCGUAGGACUGCGUCAGGUUUUGAUAAAUUUUUUUAUAUUGGUUAUUGAAUAUAGCAAUACUAUUUGCCAACACUGAAAAGCUCCACAUAUGCUUAAAUGAAACAAAUACAUUUUUUUUUAAAUUGUGUGAAUUAGAAAAUCUGAAUAUUGUCAUACUUCAUUUUAUGAUAGUUUUAACUUCCUUGAGGCAACAGUUGUACCGUUUUACCUAAAUAUAGCGUUAUUUUCAUCACCAUGAAGUUAAACAGGAAACUUUUGAACUUUUGAUAAUUUAUAUAUUGUAUCAUCAUCCAGUUGAAUAUCGUAUUCAGUGUUGGAUUAAACUUGUGCACAUUAAAGUAGACUUUUUGGGGAGAA
This 757-nucleotide long non-coding RNA is filed under the name Mytilus galloprovincialis (Mediterranean mussel). Lineage: Eukaryota; Metazoa; Mollusca; Bivalvia; Mytilida; Mytilidae. The record is from RNAcentral.